UACGUAGGGUGCGAGCGUUAAUCGGAUUUACUGGGCGUAAAGCGUGCGCAGGCGGCCCGUUGAGACAGUCGUGAAAUCCCUGGGCUCAACCUAGGAAUUGCGCUUGUGACUGGCGGGCUCGAGUACGGUAGAGGGGGGUGGAAUUCCUGGUGUAGCAGUGAAAUGCGUAGAGAUCAGGAGGAACACCGAUGGCGAAGGCAGCCCCCUGGGCCUGUACUGACGCUGAUGCACGAAAGCGUGGGGAGCAAACAGG
Molecule: ribosomal RNA, 253 nt
Filed under: uncultured microorganism
Description: partial 16S ribosomal RNA
Rfam family: Bacterial small subunit ribosomal RNA
Source: RNAcentral